RNAcentral lists this ribosomal RNA (1186 nucleotides) under uncultured amoeba. RNAcentral describes it as "bacterial SSU rRNA". It matches the Rfam family "Eukaryotic small subunit ribosomal RNA", at positions 20 to 1209 of the family's 1831-position model. The record is from RNAcentral.
GUAGUCAUAUGCUUGUCUUAAAGAUUAAGCCAUGCAUGUCUUAGUAUAAGCUUUUAUACGGCGAGACCGCGAACGGCUCAAUAAAUCAGUUAUAGUUUAUUUGAUCGUGCCUUGCUACUCGGAUAACCGUAGUAAUUCUAGAGCUAAUACGUGCUAAAAAUGGGCAGCAAUGUCCAUGCGUUUAUUAGAUACUUAGCCAACGUGGGGUCCCCCUCACUAAAUGCUGACUCAUGAUAACCUCGCGAACCGCAUGCCUCGUGCUGGCGGUGUUUCAUUCAAAUUUCUGCCCUAUCAACUUCGGAUGGUAGUGUAGUGGACUACCAUGGUCGUAACGGGUGACAGAGAACUAGGGUUCGGUUCUGGAGAGGGAGCCUGAGAGAUGGCUACCACUUCCAAGGAAGGCAGCAGGCGCGCAAAUUACCCAAUGAGAGUACCUCGAGGUAGUGACAAUAAAUAACAAUGCAGGUGCUUUACGGCACUUGCAAUUGGAAUGAACACGGUGUAAAUAGCCUAGUAAGGAUCAAUUGGAGGACAAGUCUGGUGCCAGCACCCGCGGUAAUUCCAGCUCCAAUAGCGUAUAUUAAAGUUGUUGCAGUUAAAACGCUCGUAGUCGGAUUCAGGGGCUGAUACAAUAAUGGUCUGCUGGGGACAGUGUGCACUGUAUUGUUCACCUCUUAUUUCGCGAAUGGGUCGUAUCUGAUCUUAACUGAUUGGGUACUGGCUCUCGCGUCUUUUACCAUGAGUAAAUUAGAGUGCUCAAAGCAGGCCACCUUGGCUUGAAUAUUUUAGCAUGGGAUAAUAGGACAGGACGCCUGUCUUGUUCGUUGGUUAGCGAGCUGGCGUAAUGAUCAACAGGAACUGUCGGGGACAUUUAUAUUGCUGGGGGAGGGGUGAAAUCCUUGGAUCCCAGCAAGAUAAACUACUGCAAAAGCAUUUGUCAAGUAUGUUUCCAUUGAUCAAGAACGAAAGUUUGGGGAUCGAAGACGAUCAGAUACCGUCGUAGUCCAAACUAUAAACGAUGGCGACCACAGCUUGAGUAGUGUUACUUGAAACCUCCCCAUGAUGUAGCGAGAAAUCAGAGUGUUUGGCUUCCGGGGGGAGUAUGGUCGCAAGGCUGAAACUUAAAGGAAUUGACGGAAGGACACACCAGGAGUGGAGCCUGCGGCUUAAUUUGACUCAACACGGG